Non-coding RNA from Potamilus streckersoni, 90 nucleotides. The record is from the annotation of a GenBank genome assembly. NCBI's taxonomy places the organism in Eukaryota, Metazoa, Mollusca, Bivalvia, Unionida, Unionidae.
GUUUCGGUGGCCUAAUGGUUAGAAUGUCAGCCUCGGAUGAUUUCGAUCCUCGGAUGCUGGAGCUCGUGGGUUCGAUCCCUGGUUGAGUCA